AGGAGUGCAAACAGGCCUCAAACAGAUAUAUCUAUCAAGGCCCAGAGGACAGGUCCCAGAGAGAGAGAGAGCAGAAAAGAGAGAGAGAGAGACAGGGAGGAUGCUGUUGCUUUUUGUCUUCUGAUAAGGUCAGAUCUUUGAAGAAGAAGAAGAAGAAGAAGAUGAAAGGCAAAAAAAGGUAGGAUCAGAUGGUGUCUCUUUCUCCAACUACAAAUGACAGAGAGAGGGAGAAGGGCUGACAGAGAGAGGGAGAGAGGGACACAGAGAGACAGCGAGAGAGAGAGCAAGGGGGAAAA
RNAcentral lists this long non-coding RNA (296 nucleotides) under Oncorhynchus kisutch (coho salmon). Its description in RNAcentral is "lncRNA (ENSOKIG00005041228.1)". Lineage: Eukaryota; Metazoa; Chordata; Actinopteri; Salmoniformes; Salmonidae. The record is from RNAcentral.